GAUGAACGCUGGCGGCGUGCCUAAUACAUGCAAGUCGAGCGAACAGACGAGGAGCUUGCUCCUCUGACGUUAGCGGCGGACGGGUGAGUAACACGUGGAUAACCUACCUAUAAGACUGGGAUAACUUCGGGAAACCGGAGCUAAUACCGGAUAAUAUAUUGAACCGCAUGGUUCAAUAGUGAAAGACGGUUUUGCUGUCACUUAUAGAUGGAUCCGCGCCGCAUUAGCUAGUUGGUAAGGUAACGGCUUACCAAGGCAACGAUGCGUAGCCGACCUGAGAGAGUGAUCGGCCACACUGGAACUGAGACACGGUCCAGACUACUAAGGGAGGCAGCAGUAGGGAAUCUUCCGCAAAGGGCGAAAGCCUGACGGAGCAACGCCGCGUGAGUGAUGAAGGUCUUCGGAUCGUAAAACUCUGUUAUUAGGGAAGAACAAAUGUGUAAGUAACUAUGCACGUCUUGACGGUACCUAAUCAGAAAGCCACGGCUAACUACGUG
This 497-nucleotide ribosomal RNA is filed under the name uncultured bacterium. RNAcentral's name for it is "partial 16S ribosomal RNA". It matches the Rfam family "Bacterial small subunit ribosomal RNA", at positions 28 to 507 of the family's 1533-position model. The record is from RNAcentral.